RNAcentral lists this long non-coding RNA (4106 nucleotides) under Elaeis guineensis (African oil palm). RNAcentral's name for it is "long non-coding RNA (EGUI_LNC065152)". The record is from RNAcentral. Lineage: Eukaryota; Viridiplantae; Streptophyta; Magnoliopsida; Arecales; Arecaceae.
GAACUGAAGGACCAACCUCUAGAUAUAGUUAUCAUGUGAUUUGGUUCUUCUAUCAUGAGUCCUGAUAGAAUCGAGAUCAAGGUAAAUUCGUCAAACCUCAUAUCUAUCAUAUGAUAGAAUCAAUCAAUUCGAAUCCGAUGUAAAAUUCAAUAGAAACUCUUUUCUCUCUUUUACAGUGCCAUAGCCAUGAACUUUUGGACUCAAUCUCAUGAUCUACAUAGGAUUGUUCCUCUUUUACUAAGGACAAUAGAUUUCAUCUUGAUGUAAUUCAAUUUCUAUAAUGAACAUGCUGCAGCCAACAUACACCUCAAGACUCCAUAUGGCUAGGAGAUCGAGUUUUAGUGUAGUCAAACUACAGUACCCUCAAAGUGAACUGUCGAUGCACCUCAGAUCAGAGAACUAAACAUACAACUGCAGCUAUGAACAUGUCACUAACAAGAAGGUAGAUAUCCUUGUGACUGUUCGUAAAUGGUUAUGCUCAGUAUCCUUGUUCUUAACAAGCACCUGUACUUUCACUCCUAUGUCUCCACAUCGUAGAUUCAAAAUUCAUCUAUCCAAAAAAAGUGAUCAUACACCAAUCUUCUGGAUCGAUCAUCGUCUCCAUGAUAGUCCUAUGAUUGAGAGUAAUUUAUGAGUUAACUAAGAUUAGCACAUAUCUCAAAUUUUUAACUCUUGAGAAUAUGUGUUAUCUUACCUAUUAACCCAAUGGAUGAUUCACAGAUACUAUUAAACACAAUGUGAAUGAAAAUAAUCUAAUUUUAUUAAUAUCAAAAUUAAAUUAUAAAUUAUGUCCUAAAAGUAUUUUACAAGUAUCCGCCAAUCUGCCUCCUAAGGCAUACAUCUAACAAGCAAGAUAGAAGAGGAUAUCGGAUGUCCUCUGAAGCAUCAUAAGAGCCUUAUAGCUCUCAAGAUGGUCCAGUAGAUAUAAGAAGCCAUCAUAUAGCUCUACCUAUGAUAUCUUGAAUCGAGUUAAAAUUGGUUCCUCCAAAAUCUAUUAAGAAAAGGGAGGGUGCGAGUUAAAGCAGAGGUCAUCAUCUUGUCCCUGACCUUCUUGCAACACCUCCAAGCACUAAUCGAUUUUGCGAAUCCUUCACUCGAGAUCUACCUCUCGUUGGGAUGCAUCCAACCUCGAGGAAUAACCUAGGUCGAAUCUCCCCCGAAAGGCUCGAGUGAAUGUUCGCACCAAUCCUUGUUGGGAAUAGUGUCCCAAAGCCAAUCGUCAGUCUGUUGACGGUUGUGCUCAUUUUUAUAUUUGUACAUAAAUUAUGAAUUAAUAAAAAUUAUUUUGGUAUUUUUCAUCACAAAAUAUUUCAUCUUCUAAUGAACUCCUAUGUUGUGAUGAAGUCCUUAGGACUAUUUAAACUCGACAAAGGAGGAUUUGUCGUUUAGUCCUUAAAUCUAUUCGCGACCAAAUGAUACGUUGUUACCAAGGACGACAAUAUUUAUCAAGCAUAGGUCGUUGUGUGCCAUAUAGAUUGGUUGUCCUCUUAACCAAUGAGUGUGGAGACACUGGUAUGGCAUACAGGUGAGAUGUAAGGGUACAUCUGCACUGAACGUGACCAACUCCAGAGCUAUUUCUGUUGUCAAGAUUUGCUCCGAUGGAAUAUGGGUAUAAAUAUCCCUUCGACCUGAGACCGCCAUGGUGACUUGCAAACAACUCACUGUACUUAGGCACUAGACUACUUAAAUUUUUAAUUCAGUGACGGAAGACUGCUGGGUGUAGUCAAGUACUUGACUUGUCGGUGCGUGUGUCAAGAUGGGAUUGACCACUUCAGUUUAGGAGCUGUGUACAGUCGUGUUUCAAUUUAGUAAAACAUUGGCCAGGAUAGUCUUUGUGAGGAGUCACAGGACUGUUUGAGUUAAGCACGAUUCGGAUGAUCUGAUCAGAAUUGACAGUUUAACCCUGAGUCAUCCUAAACACAGGGGUCAAAAGGAUGAAUUAUAUAGUAAUCAUAUUCAUGUAGAUUUUGAGUGUUGUGAUUGUGACUCUUCGAUCUAUCUGGACGUCGGGUACCAUUGCUAGAUGGUCACUUCGAUUAGUACAGGAAUUGGUUCCUGUGCUACCGGCUUAGGUUCGAACCUGCGGGAUCACACACAUUAGAGGUUCCUAUCUGAUCUAAUGGCUGGUGUAGAAUCCUACAUGUUUGAGACUCAGUGAUCAAGAAUCAAGAUUCUCUGAUCAUAAGUUCCACACAUUAUGGGUACCAGGGUCAAGAGUCCCACUGGUUGGAACUUUNNNNNNNNNNNNNNNNNNNNAAUUUUAGAUCUAACUAAACAUGCAUUAUUUAGAUCUAAUCUAAAUAUUUUUAGAUCUGAUCAUUCUUUAAAUCACAUUUUUAUCAGAUCUGAUCUAAUUUAGAUUUAAGAUCCAAACAACCUGACUCUGAUACCAGUUAAAGGAUCGGAUAGCGCAGCGGAUCAGCUCGGAUCAGAUGCAGCGGAAUUCAAAAAUUUUUAAUCUGAUCCAGCAUGUGAGACUUAGAUCCAAAUCAAAAAAAUAGCAUAUUAAAUAAUAAAAAUCAGCAUAUAUAAAAGAUAAGAGGUGAUCUCAUCACAGUGCGCGGGUAGACGAUCUCUGCGAUUAAUGAUCCGAUGAUUUUUGAGAUUUGCUGUGGAGCCGCGCACGUACCCAGCCUCUACAAAUAUCCACUUGAGCUUGAUCUAGGAUGCCUUCUCUUCGAUCAAUCCACCUACUCCUAGAUGGAAUUGCAAGCUCCUUGAUUAGAUUCAAAUUUGAUUGUCGAUAGGACUCCGAUCAGCCCUUAAUCACAGCCUUUUUGACUCUUCGCGUAGAACUGAUGGCAUUCGACACCUUGAAUCCACCAGAUGGCUCGUCCAACACCUUUGGAUGUAGAAGAGGGAUAGAUAUCAGAGAUAGAAGAGGGAGGAGGCAUAGAAACGAGGAAGAAAGAUGUGAAAAAUGAUUUAUUGGCUAUAACCCCUUUGGUCGAUCAAAAAGAACCUCUUUUUAUAGGAAUAUAAUCAAAUCAGAUGCCUUAAAAUAGAAAAACUCUCCUAGAUCCACCCCAGUCUGAUUUCUCUCUUAUUUUGUCAUACAAAACCAAUGAGAAAUUUAGAUUGGUGUAGAGAUAGGAUAAGAUUGUUGUCACCUCAUUCUAAUCCACCUCUAAUUCGAUUCAAAUGGUUUAAAUUCGAAGUUGAAUUCAAAUCUGAAUUUGAAUUCAAAGGAGAUCAAAUCUUUUAUCCUCAUCCACUAGUGGAUGAGGCUUAUCCCUUUUUUCUUUUUUAUCUGAUUUGGAUGACACACACAUGGAUUCAAUCCAUGUGGGUGCACCCCAUCACAUGGCCGAACAACAUUGGGUGGCGCCAACAUUUGGCGCCCCCACAAACCUAACCUAAUUCGAUCAAAUUCAAACUUGGGUGAAUCAACAUUUGAACCCAAUUGGAGCUUGUACCAAAUUGAUUAAAUCCUAUCUAAUAGGAUACAAAAUUAAGGAGGAGAAAAUGAGUUUAACUAUGUGCUAGCAUGAUUUUCUUAAACCCAAAAUUAGGACUCAAUAGCUCCUAAUCCAAUCAAACUACACUUAGCCUAAUUGUGCAAUCCAAAACCAAAACCCUUGUUUGUGUGACCCCAUAGGUUUAAUUCUGUUUGGUAGUAAGAUUUGUUAUGAUCUUUAUUAUCAACGUCAUCGAAACUUUUUUUGAUGGAUCGAAACUCUUUUCAAUUUAGCCAAUUAGUAUUAUUGAUCAGCAAAAUAAUUGUAAUUAGUCCCACAAUCUACUAGUGACACCUAACAGUAUGUAGUGCAAUCCAGCAAAACUGAAGGACCAACCUCUAGAUAUAGUUAUCAUGUAAUUUGGUUCUUCUAUCGUGAGUCCUAAUAGAAUCGAGGUCAAGAUAAAUUCGUCAAACCUCAUAUCUAUCAUAUGAUAGAAUCAAUCAAUUCGAAUCCGAUGUAAAAUCUAAUAGAAACUCUUUUCUCUCUUUCACAGUGCCAUAGCCAUGAACUUUUGGACUCAAUCUCAUGAUCUACAUAGGAUUGUUCCUCUUUUACUAAGGUCAAUAGAUCCCAUCUUGAUGUAAUUCAAUUCUUAUAAUGAACAUACUGCAGCCAACAUACACCUCAAGACUCCAUAUGGCUAGG